CGCCUCGGUCCGCUCCCUCAGCAGAAUGAGGUCGGCCUCGAUCUGCUCGCACAUGGACUGCACCGUAGCAACUGAUGCCUCCAUGUCGCUCUCGUUAAGACCGUACUCUCCACCAUCUGCACAGGCUACAUGCACAGCUGACUGGCUUGUGGUUCGUUGAUGCAAAACGGGUCGUCACCAAGACAGAUGCCUGAUGUUGAGCUUUAAACCUCCGGGGGCGAACAGAUUUCCAUAAAUCCAUCCAUCCAUCAUCUUCUGUCUCCUUACCCAAGCCCACUCCCACAACGUAGAUGGUCUCUCCACAUCCCUCGUCCAUCCGCUCUCUCAGCUGCCUCAGGAGGGCAUCGUACUGCUCGCCGUUUGGACUGACCAGAGCCAGCUGUCAGGAGGAAACAUUGACU
Sardina pilchardus (European sardine) is the source of this 401-nucleotide long non-coding RNA. RefSeq lists it as uncharacterized. The transcript is spliced from 3 exons. The record is from RefSeq and is a predicted model, not a curated record. Lineage: Eukaryota; Metazoa; Chordata; Actinopteri; Clupeiformes; Clupeidae.